Molecule: non-coding RNA, 398 nt
Filed under: Cedecea davisae
Lineage: Bacteria; Pseudomonadati; Pseudomonadota; Gammaproteobacteria; Enterobacterales; Enterobacteriaceae
Source: RNAcentral
UUAUGCAGCGUGCUGUUCAGCGGCUUGAUAAGCAGCGUGUUGUUAUUGAGCAGCACGUCGCCUUUGGCGAUGGUCAUUUCGCCGUUGAGCGGAAUAUCGAGAUGUAAGCGAGCAUUCACAUCGCCGCCAACCUGUAGCUCAUCAAGCGCCGCGGCCAGAGAAUCGUCCAGCGGCGUAUCCUUGAAAUAUGGCCCAACCGCGCUGCCCGGCCCGUUAAUAUCGGCAUCGAUCAGCAGUUUCUCUUUUGCAUAAUCGGGAAUAUUAGCCGUCAGCUUACUGGCCGUCACGCCGCCCAGUUUUACCGCAUCGCUGUUCAUCCACAGUCCGUUGUUGAUGAAGUCGAGCGUGAUGUCGAGAUUCUCCAGCGCAGGCCAGUCCGGCUGGAAGGCAAAUUUGGC